GGCGAGCAGAGAGGCUCUGAAAAGCUUGCAGCUCCGGGCUCAAGGGAGAUGAGACUUCACUCUUACUGCGUAGGAGACACAGGAGACUGAAAUCUCUCUACUUCGUGGCCCAGAGGAAGACUCCCAGGUGGUUUUGGCUGGUACAAACAUCCUGGACAGACAGAUGGGGUCUUAGCCUUGGAUCUUCAGUCUGGAGAUUUCCCUCCCUCGAGAUCUGCCUCAGAACCUGCUUCUCAAGGCUCAACCUCAACUGUUUCUGUUUAUUUCCCCAGCCUCUCCCAGGUUAGUCCAUUCCUCUUUUCCCAUAUUUCAGCUGCAUUGACUUUUCCUCCUCAUCAAACACAGCUCCUUUCCUACCCUAUAGUCUCUCCCGGCCUGGUGCCCCACCCCACCCUGGGCUCCAUGGCUCCGUCUCCUUCAGACCCUCAUGGACUCCCUCUUCAGAGGGGACUAUCUUAUCCUACACACACUCUCUCUUGUUACUCUCCACUUCAUUAACUUUGUUUACUUCCUUCAUCUAAGUUGUCGCAAUUGGAUACUUUCUUUCCUCCUUUCCUUGACUGUUAUGUUGGUCUCUCCAGCUAGAAAGGAAGUUCCACAGAGCAGACCUUGUUCUUUCUUCCUCUUUGGUGGACCUUGAUUCUCUUGCACCCAGGACAGCACCCAGACCAUAGCAAGCACACAGUAGAUAAUUCAUUGAGUGAAUCCGAGUGUAUUUAAUCAUCCAAGUCAGGUGCUUGGAGACUCCAUUCUUCUCUUUCAGCCUCUCCGAGGGCUAUUCAUCAAACCCUAUCGAUUCUGCCUCAAACAGGACUCUUCAGCCUGUCCUCUGUCUUUCUUUGCUACAGUUGGUGUCCUGGUCCUGGCUUUGAAGAACAGUGGGAAGACUCCAUGGUACCCAUUCUGUGAUCUGAGGGUGGUUAAUUUCCUGGUGCGACCAAACUCAAGGUUUAGAUGACAAGUGGAAUUUUACUUUUCAAGCUCACCAACUCCGCCAUCAGAUCUAACCCACUAGCACCAGCUAGGGAAAUACAAAGAAACAAAGAGGUUGUUGCCUCUCCCAGGCAACUGUCUAGUUUACCAGCUUUAUCAAACAUCGAAUGAGUGAUUCCUGUAUGCACACAACGAAUUCUUUAUACCACCAACUCAUUGAAUCCCUACAGCUUGAAAAAAGAUUUAUGUGUGUGUGUAUGUGUGUGUGUGUGUGUGUGUGUGUGUGUUUGUCUGCCUAUGUGCAUGUAUGGAUACCUGUGUGUGUACGACACAGAGGAGGUGUUGGAUCCCUUGCAGGGGUUGGGGGUGGAAC
RNAcentral lists this small RNA (1306 nucleotides) under Rattus norvegicus (Norway rat). RNAcentral describes it as "uncharacterized LOC102547467". Lineage: Eukaryota; Metazoa; Chordata; Mammalia; Rodentia; Muridae. The record is from RNAcentral.